Long non-coding RNA from Podarcis raffonei (Aeolian wall lizard), 1551 nucleotides. RefSeq lists it as uncharacterized. The record is from RefSeq and is a predicted model, not a curated record. The transcript is spliced from 2 exons. NCBI's taxonomy places the organism in Eukaryota, Metazoa, Chordata, Lepidosauria, Squamata, Lacertidae.
UUAAGCUUUGGCAUUUGCCCCUACAAGAGGUUGUGAUGGGCAGCAACGUAAUUGGCAUUAAAAGAGGAUUAGACAAAUUCAUGGAGGAUAAGGCUAUGAAUAGCUACUAGCCACCACUGUUGGAGGCAGCAUGCCUCUGAACACCAGUUGCCUGGAAUCACAGGUGGAGAGAGUGUUGCUGAGGUCAGGAUUUGCUUGCACCUUUCAGGUUUCCUAUUGCCAUCUGGUUGGCCAAUGGGACAGUAAUAUAUCUGUUCAGUAUAAUGCAAUUGUUUUCAAACCAUGGGAUGUGGCUGCCUCUUGAGAAGAAGAAGCAGCAGCCAAGAUCUAGGUGGGUUCAAUGUUGCCUGGAAGUGAUCUUAUGACAGCAGCAUCAGGAGACAAUCAGUCGGGUUGUGUAUCCAAAGCAGGGACCAGAGGAAGAAUGACAACUGGGGGGAGCGCAGAAAGAAGAAAUGCCAUGGUACACCUGCGUCAGCACAACUGGAUGCCUUCAUCUGCCCCAACUGCAACAAAACAUGUCUCUUCUGUAUCAGUCUGUACAGCCACAGCAGGCACUGUAACUCCAAUGGCUUGACCUCACCCCCAAAGGCACACUCCUCCAUCGUCUCCCAAGACAGACAAGUGCCAAGCAUGCAUUGGAUAAAAGUGCCACAUGCAAGACCCCUUGUUGCAUUUGUUGCAACAAACAAACAUGGCUGCCCCCCCCCCAUUUCCACGAAAGAUCCCUCAAAGGGGCUAUGAAACUUCAGUAGUUCUGUGCUCCUGGCUUCUUUAGAACUGCAGCCCCUUCAGACUUCAGCUGAGAGCAAUCUGAAUGAACAGCAAGCUGGAUGCAUCUGGCAAAUUACCUGCUGGUGAGCAAGUUUUGCUUUGAGUGACAGGGCUGUGUGCCUGUAACCCUAAACAUCACAUUGAAGGCCUUUAUCCUCAAGCCAAGUUUACAGAUUUCAUAAAGGCAUUAAACAAACAGUGCAAUGUUUUCACAUAAACAAACUUAGCUAGCAAAAAUAUUUGCUCCAUUUCCUUUUCCUUUCGUUAGACUUUGUGUGAUUAAUACCUGUGUGUCAGUUAAUGUUUCCCAAAGCUGUCAGCUUCCCUGAUUAGUACUUUGGUGGAAACACCAGGCCAUGCAAAUUACUCUUAGGCCCAAUUACAAGUGGGCAAAUCAAAAUAGUAAGCACUGGUGAGGAAUGCCAGCAGCAGGAUUCCUGCAUAUUUAACAGCCAGGAAGAAAUUCUGUACUCCUCACAUAUUUCUUUUCCAGGCAGAAGACAGGCAAAUGCCAUGCAGGCUGAGGAACAGACAGUUUAUAUUGUUACCAGUUUAUUCUUUAAGCACAGUUGCAAUCGCCUCGCAGUAUAGCUCAACAGAACAAAGUUUCAGGUGACUGAGCCAUGGUUUUGUGGGAAAUCUGUGGGAGAAAUAGGAGCAUUUCACUUAAACCUGUCAUCAUUGCAAAACAAUAGUGAUACUCUUUUAUCUGACAGAUCUCUGCUUUCUUUGGCAUUUAUGAUUUACAUAAAGCAAGUGCCUGUUUUCUCAGCUCUA